UAGUCUUACUACAACUUGACAUGACAAGGC
RNAcentral lists this non-coding RNA (30 nucleotides) under Mus musculus (house mouse). Lineage: Eukaryota; Metazoa; Chordata; Mammalia; Rodentia; Muridae. The record is from RNAcentral.